This 75-nucleotide transfer RNA is filed under the name Candidatus Dadabacteria bacterium. Its description in RNAcentral is "tRNA-Val". It matches the Rfam family "tRNA". From Rfam's summary of the family: Transfer RNA (tRNA) molecules are approximately 80 nucleotides in length. Their secondary structure includes four short double-helical elements and three loops (D, anti-codon, and T loops). The record is from RNAcentral. Lineage: Bacteria; Pseudomonadati; Thermodesulfobacteriota; Candidatus Dadabacteria.
GAGCGCGUAGCUCAGCGGGAGAGCGCUUGCCCGACACGCAAGAGGUCGCUGGUUCGAUCCCAGCCGCGCUCACCA